This is a long non-coding RNA of Nyctereutes procyonoides (raccoon dog), 573 nucleotides long. RefSeq lists it as uncharacterized. Lineage: Eukaryota; Metazoa; Chordata; Mammalia; Carnivora; Canidae. The transcript has 4 exons. The record is from RefSeq and is a predicted model, not a curated record.
UUCCCCCAGCCUUUAAAUAUAGACUGGCCUUUCAGUUUGAUCAGUACAAUGCAACAGAACUAACAGGAUGCCAGGUUGGCUUAGGUCUCAAGAUGUUUUGAGUCUUUCAUUCAUUUUCUUGGAAUUCCACUGAACCACCAAGGCUAACCUGCGGGAGGAUGAGGGACACAUGGACCAGAUCAGAGUUGCCCAGCUGAAACCAUCCUGGUGGCCUGGAAGAAGACUCAUGAGAAAUUUCCUUGAGAAUCAACUAAGCCUGGGCCAGUUUAAAUUCUGGCCCAUUGUGGAAGAUCACCCCUUACAGAAGACACGUCUGUCAAGAGGAACCCGGAGCUGUUUCCUUUGGAAGUAGUUUUGGACCAGGGCAUUUUGGUCCCACCCAUUACCCAAACUAAAUAGUAGUGCUGACGACACCCUCUUGGUGCUCAGGUAUAGGCUGGCUUCAGCACACCACUGGGAAUCAUCUGCUCCAGACUUUGUUGAUUUAAUUAAGUGACCUGCAGUGCAGCCCUCAUGGGAAUAUGUAAACACAAACCACAUAUAAGCUGAGGACUCUUGGCCUCUUGGUUUUUA